GCUGCCGUAGCUCAGUGGUAGAGCGCGUCCUUGGUAAGGACGAGGUCCGGAGUUCAAUCCUCCGCGGCAGCACCA
RNAcentral lists this transfer RNA (75 nucleotides) under Alphaproteobacteria bacterium. RNAcentral describes it as "tRNA-Thr". It matches the Rfam family "tRNA". Rfam says of the family: Transfer RNA (tRNA) molecules are approximately 80 nucleotides in length. Their secondary structure includes four short double-helical elements and three loops (D, anti-codon, and T loops). Further hydrogen bonds mediate the characteristic L-shaped molecular structure. tRNAs have two regions of fundamental functional importance: the anti-codon, which is responsible for specific mRNA codon recognition, and the 3' end, to which the tRNAs corresponding amino acid is attached (by aminoacyl-tRNA synthetases). tRNAs cope with the degeneracy of the genetic code in two manners: having more than one tRNA (with a specific anti-codon) for a particular amino acid; and 'wobble' base-pairing, i.e. permitting non-standard base-pairing at the 3rd anti-codon position. The record is from RNAcentral. Lineage: Bacteria; Pseudomonadati; Pseudomonadota; Alphaproteobacteria. RNAcentral also lists the same sequence under 4 other names.